Molecule: transfer RNA, 77 nt
Filed under: Candidatus Omnitrophota bacterium
Lineage: Bacteria; Pseudomonadati; Candidatus Omnitrophota
Description: tRNA-Glu
Rfam family: tRNA
About the family: Transfer RNA (tRNA) molecules are approximately 80 nucleotides in length. Their secondary structure includes four short double-helical elements and three loops (D, anti-codon, and T loops).
Source: RNAcentral
GUCCCCAUCGUCUAGCCCGGUCAGGACUCCAGAUUUUCAUUCUGGCAACAGGGGUUCGAAUCCCCUUGGGGAUGCCA